CGGGUCUCUCCUUGCAGCGGCGCGGCGAGAGUAGAGUGGUGGCUACGGAGGUGGGAACCAUGACAGGACAGGCAUUUAGAAAGUUUCUUCCACUCUUCCAUCGAGUAUUGGUGGAAAGGUGUGCAGCCGAAACUGUAACCAAAGGAGGCAUUAUGCUUCCAGAAAAAUCUCAAGGAAAAGUAUUGCAAGCAACAGUAGUGGCUGUUGGGUCAGGCUCUAAAGGAAAAGGUGGAGAGAUUCAACCAGUUAGUGUGAAAGUUGGAGAUAAAGUUCUUCUCCCAGAAUAUGGAGGCACUAAAGUAGUUCUAGAUGACAAGGAUUAUUUCUUAUUUAGAGAUGGUGACAUUCUUGGAAAGUGUGUAGACUGAAUAAAUCACUAUUGAAAUGGCAUUGACAUGAAGCUGCCCAUUCCACUGAAGUUCUGAAAUCUUGCAUCAUGUAAAUAAUUUCCAUGUCUCUCUUUUAUAAUAAACUGAUGAUAUCUAA
This is an RNA transcript of Otolemur garnettii (small-eared galago), 486 nucleotides long. It is a transcript of the gene named 10 kDa heat shock protein, mitochondrial pseudogene, with no coding region annotated. NCBI's taxonomy places the organism in Eukaryota, Metazoa, Chordata, Mammalia, Primates, Galagidae. The record is from RefSeq and is a predicted model, not a curated record. The transcript has a single exon.